GAAUCUUGUUAACAGUGUUCUUCGUUAAGACGCACAUCACUCACAUCAGUGUUUCAGUGUAUUAAUCUUUGUGUCUAAUAUAGUGUAAUAUAUCUAAUAUAGUGUAUAUCAGUGUAUAAUUAUAUUUUUAUAUAACUUAAAAGUUAUUUGUCGAUUAGCAUAUUAAUGUAAAUAAUAUCAAGAUUAAAUAAGUUCAAUACAAAAACUGAACCAUAUUAAUAUUGUGUUAAACAAAAAAAAAGUGUACUAUAAACUUCUCUCUAGACGUUUACUCAGUGUGUAUUGUGUACAAAAUACGAACUUGUGGACUAAUUUAGCUAGAUAAAAAUUUGUGUUGUGUGUAAAGCUUCGUUUUAUGUUUAAUUACGUAAAACAUUUAAGGUUAGUAAAAAUCAUUGAAAAAAUACAUUACAAUUCUUUACUAUUUUUAAAAUAAUUUUUUAUUUCAAUAAUCUGUUUUUUUCAGAUGGCUUUUAUGUAUGCAUUAGUUUUAUUUUUAAAUGAUUCGUCCAAUAAAGAAAUUGAUAUAUUGAAUAUCGUGGGAUGUACCGGAUGUAAAUUAGCCUGAAUCAUUGUUAAAAAGUACUAAGUAUUGUAAAUUAUUACAAACAAUAGUUAAACAUUGUGAAGGGUCUGACCGACAUGGCCAACGUUUUAUGUUCAAAUAAGUGGCACAGCAGAAACAAUGGAAGAGGCAGAGGAAAAAUUAAUAAGAUUAAAAAGAACCCCUAUUCUUCUCUACCAAUAAUGAGUAGUCUGGCAAAGCAAAAGCGGCUGCUGUUGAAAAAACUUGCAAGCAUUAGCAAAGGAUUGAUUAAAAAUAGAUAAUACUUAUAUUUAGCCACAUAGCUUUAGAGUUAACUGACGAACCCACUGAAAUUGCAGAACCUAAGAAAUAAAAGCCAUAAAAAUGUAACCAAAAAAUUGUGAAGAAACAAGCCUAAAAACAUAGUCUCGAAUGGUCAUCUACAUCAAUAGUGUCUUCGAUAUCUUCAUCACCACCGUCAUUGUUAUGUAAACCUACGAAAAUAAAUAAUGAAACUAAAAAAAACGAAUUAAUGAGAGUACUAACUACAUAGUUGGCUCAAAAAAAAGGAAAAAAAUUAGUUCAUAAUCUACACCAUACUACCUUGAUCAUCUUCAUCAUCACCAUCAACUAAACGUAGAAAAAUAAGAAAAAUCAACUCGAAUUUGAAGGACAUAAAUAUGCGUAUGGAAAUAGCACAUGAAGACAGUACAUUAGCAACAAUUGCUGAUAAUCCCUUUUCAUCAUCAUCAUAAAUCUGAAACAGAAGCUGAAAUGAAUAUAUUAGCAGCUAGAUCAUCAUCAACAAAAAAUACUGUAUCCAGUGAUUCUUUGCUGGAAUGUAUCAAACAUAAUUAUAACGGUCUAUCAAAACAAUUAGCAAAUUUAAAAGGCCAUAUCUGCUGACGUUCCCAAAUCCUAUCUGAAAUAAAAAAAUAACAGUACUCAGCUGUUAGAUUUCAGUUUAUUAACAGAUUCUGAAGGAAAUCCAGUGGUCCAAAAAUUAGAAUUUCCACUAUCAACAAUGGAAGAUAUUAUUUUGAUAAAUUCAAUGAAAAAUUAAAAGGCCAAAAAUAUAAAAAUAAAAUGAAUAAACGUAUAUACUUUUCUCUUGAUGGAAAAAAUACUUUUACCCGUAAUAUGGGAAAUAUUACUCGUGUUUAUAUAACAAGAGAUGACAUAUGUAGCAGUUAAAGCAACUUCAAAAAAAAGUUUUCAAAGAUACGACUUUUUCACUUCUAUAAAAAGUAUGUUAAUCAUUAUAUAGUGCAGAAUUACUAUAAUUGAUACCUAAUUAAUUAUUUCUUAAUUAUGUGUUAUUAUUUUAUACCCAAUAAUAAUUAUUUUUUACUAUUACUAAUUUAAUUACGUACAUGAUUAAUUUAAAUUUUGAUUCGAAAAGAAUCAAGAAAGUAUUUUCGAUAAUAAAUUCCAUCAAGCAUUGUCUGUAGUAUUGAAUAAUGCUAAUAUAAUAAUAAAGAUUGGGAUGGGUACAGGGUAUCCAGGAUCAAAAACUACCAUCUAAUGAAGAUAAAUAAAAACAACUAUUUUUUUUUUGCUGUGUAAAAUAUUUUGCCAAGCAAACAAAAAGAAAAAUUAAUUCAUAAUAUUUAAUAACAAUCAUUAUUAUUUUUAACUAUAACAUAAAAAUAAUUGAUAUUUAAAGUAAAAACAAAAAUAAAUAAUACAUUUGAAAAAAUAAAUGGAAAUAAAUAUGUUUUUUUUCAAUCGGAUAAGUUUUAUUUCUGUUUAAGUGCACAAUAAAGUGUAUUGUUAUGUUAAGUUAAAUGUAUAUAAUAUGUUAUUUUAAAUAUACAUAGUAUGUUAAGUAACAUAAUAUCAUUUCUUUUUUUUUUUUUUGACGUGACGUCUAAUAAAUCGAUUAACGCCGGCUUCGUUACGAUCAUAUGUAUGCUUGUGCCGCAUCUAUCUGAUCGGCCUAUGCAUCCGAGGAGAUGUUUUGUUAUGACGGUUGUCACGUUUAACUAUCGUCUGUAAACCAACUUUGCAGACAACCAAGUUUUUUAAUAAACAAUUUUGUCAAGACUGUACAUUCGUGUUUUAUUUAAAAGGACCGCACUUUUUUUUUUUUUGAUAUCGCAGGGUAACCCAUUUACGGGUGAUAUCCAGGAUGCCAGGGUAGGCAUUCCUAGACUGUAUGUCGGCUUAGUACUUGGGGGUGCACUACCG
This 2716-nucleotide unclassified non-coding RNA is filed under the name Melitaea cinxia (Glanville fritillary). RNAcentral's name for it is "misc RNA ENSMCXG00005021238.1". The record is from RNAcentral. Lineage: Eukaryota; Metazoa; Arthropoda; Insecta; Lepidoptera; Nymphalidae.